RNAcentral lists this non-coding RNA (361 nucleotides) under Saccharomyces cerevisiae YJM451. RNAcentral also lists the same sequence under 21 other names. Lineage: Eukaryota; Fungi; Ascomycota; Saccharomycetes; Saccharomycetales; Saccharomycetaceae. The record is from RNAcentral.
AAGAAAUUUAAUAAUUUUGAAAAUGGAUUUUUUUGUUUUGGCAAGAGCAUGAGAGCUUUUACUGGGCAAGAAGACAAGAGAUGGAGAGUCCAGCCGGGCCUGCGCUUAAGUGCGCGGUCUUGCUAGGCUUGUAAGUUUCUUUCUUGCUAUUCCAAACGGUGAGAGAUUUCUGUGCUUUUGUUAUAGGACAAUUAAAACCGUUUCAAUACAACACACUGUGGAGUUUUCAUAUCUUUGCAACUUUUUCUUUGGGCAUUCGAGCAAUCGGGGCCCAGAGGUAACAAACACAAACAAUUUUAUUUAUUCAUUAAAUUUUUGUCAAAAACAAGAAUUUUCGUAACUGGAAAUUUUAAAAUAUUAA